GGAUCAUGAAACUUCAUAGGUACAUUGAUCAUGACUCGCAGAUGACCCCUAUUGAUUUUGAGGUCACUAGGUCAAAGGUCAAGGUCACGGUGACCCUAAAUAGUAAAAUGGUUUCCGGAUGAUAACUCAAGAACGCAUACGCCUAGGAUCAUGAAACUUCAUGGGUAGAUUGAUCAUGACUCGCAAAUGACCCCUAUCAAUUUUGAGGUCACUAGGUCAAAUGUCAAGGUCACGGUGACCCGAAAUAGUAAAAUGGUUUCCGGAUGAUAACUCUAGAACGCAUACACCUAGGAUCAUAAAACUUCAUGGGUAGAUUGAUCAUGACUCGCAGAUGACCCCUAUCAAUUUUGAGGUCACUAGGUCAAAGGUCAAGGUCACGGUGACCCGAAAUAGUAAAAUGGUAUCUGGAUGAUAACUCAAGAACGCAUACGCCUAGGAUCAUGAAACUUCAUGGGUAGAUUGAUCAUGACUUGCACAUGACCCCUAUUGUUUUUGAGGUCACUAGGUCAAAGGUCAAGGUCACGGUGACCUGAAAUAGUAAAAUGGUUUUCGGAUGAUAACUCAAGAACGCAUACGCCUAGGAUCAUGAAACUUCAUAGGUAGAUUGAUCAUGACUCGCAGAUGACCCCUUUUGAUUUUGAGGUCACAAGGUCAAAGUUCAAGGUCACGGUGACCCGAUAUAGUAAAAUGAUUUUCGGAUGAUAACUCAAGAACGCUUUUGCCUAGGAUCAUGACACUUCAUAGGUACAUUGAUCGUGACUCGCAGAUGACCCCUAUUGAUUUUCAGGUCACUAGGUCAAAGGUCAAGGUCACAGUGACAAAAAUCGUACUCACACAAUGGCUGCCACCACAAUGGGGGGCAUGCAUGUUUUACAAACAGCCCUUGUUUUGUUUUCAUUUUUGUCAGUAUAUUGUUAUUUUUAUUCCAAUAACUAACCAAAGUUACUGUAUUCGGAACAUAUUUUAAUCAUUUAUUUAUUUUAGUUCAAUUGUUUUGUCAUUGUUAAUUUUUUCUGGACACCUUUCUCUUAUUAAUUGAUUAAUUUUAAGAUGCGUUCUUAUGCAUGAAUAUAAGUGAAGAUUUGACAGAAAGUUCAGAUGUUUGUACAUCUUAAAGCAAAAUGUGUUGUUCUCUAAUUGUGUUUUGAUUAGCUUGCUUUUAGUGUUUUUAUGGUCCCGAAGGAGGGCAUAUAGUGAUCGGACCGUCCGUCUGUCUGCCUGUCUGUCCUUCUGUCACACUUUGCGUUUAGGUUUCGAAAAAUGCUCAUAACUUCUAUGUCCCUUCACAUAGCAACUUGAUAUUUGGCAUGCAUGUGUAUCUCAUGGAGCUACACAUUUUGAGCCGUGAAAGGUCAUCCUUCAAGGUCAAUAUAUAUGGCUUCAAAGAGGCGCAGAAGGGGGCAUUGUGUUUCUGAAAAUCACAUCUCUUGUUAAGUAUAUGUUAACAUUUCUCUUGUACUUAAAUGCUUUUAUCCAUGGUUUAAAUUUUAUUUUAAAAAUUGGUCUCACUGGAAACAUAAUUUUGUCAAUUAGUGAUUGCUUGAUUGAAAUGUUUAUCUAUAUUUUGCAGACAUAUGAAUUCUUGAAUAAUUGUAUGUCAAUGCUGUAUUGUUCCAUAAUAAAACUUGAUAUCAUUUGCUAGUCCCUUAAAAAGCCAGGUACUUAAUAGCAUAUAUUCAGAUUUGUGUUGUUGAUCUGUACUCUUGUUUUCAAUUUUCUCUCUCAUUUCUUUGUUUUGUUACAGUGUCUACCUUAAGUUUUUAUGGGAAUGUUUUUGUCACUGACAUUUGACAAUAUAUUGAUAUUUUUAACUGUAUUUAUAUAAAUGUUGAUAUUUUCACAAUGAUUAACAUUCAUGUCGUAUGAUUAACAUUCAUGUCGUCCCUUGCCACUCUGAAUUACUUUGUAAAGACAUGCACACACACUUUUUAAUUCAAUAAGUAAUGUGUAUUAAGAUUUAAUUUAAAAUAUGCUAUUGUUUAUUGUUGCAUUUUUCCUGUUUUUAUUGUGAUAAUGUUUAAAAGCAUACAGUGUAUGCUGUUAAUUGAUAUAUGAUCGUUGAUGUUUAUGAUAUGUUGUUCAUGAGAUGAUGAUGAUUAUACAAUUAUUUUUUAGCUCACCUGAGCACAAAGUGUCCAUAGUGAGCUAUUGUGAUCACCCUAGGUCCGGCAUCCAUGGUCAUUCGGUGUGCGUCUUAAUUUGUUUGUUUGUUAUCUUGGUCAUGAGCAUCGAAAAAACUAGGUCAGCAUGUCACAUGUUAAAAAAUUCUUUUGAUCACUUUAGAGGUCACAUUGAUGACUCAGUGUUGAUGAAGUCAGAAUGUUAUCUUGACAAUAUGUAGGGAAGUUCAAAUCUGAGUCAUCUUGGUUUAAAAACUAGGUCACCUGGUCAAAUUAAAAUACAUUCAACCAGUCUAGAAUCAACUUUAAUGAUUAUUCAAGCUUGAUGAAACUUGAUAAGAAUGUUUAUUGUUACAAUAUAUAGGAUAAGUUUGGGUCAUGUACCUUCAAAAAACUAUGUCAUCUGGUCAGACCUAUCAGGGGGCUACAUUUUAUGCUUCAGUCUUGAUGAAACUUGUUCAGAAUGUUUAUCUCUGAAAUAUAAAAAACAUGUUUGAAUCUGAGUCAAAACUAGAUCACCUGGUCAAGUCUUCAACAUAUUGUUUCGUUGAAAUCAGGUGAGCCUUAAGGGCAUCAUGGCCCUUAUGUCCUUGUUUGAACCAGACCCUUUCUUGAGGUAGCACUCUUUUAAUGACAAAAGCAAUAGCAUAUUCUCCACAAUGUUUACAGUGAUAUGUGUUCAGUUCUGGCAAUACAGAUUCAUAUUAUAGUUGUUUCAUACACAAGCUUCUGGGCUCAUUUCAUACACAAGCUUCUAGCCUCAAAGAGUCAAUAUUGGAAUGAUAUACUUAAUGCCUUUUAACUAAUGACAUGGUUGGUACUGAACCAGUGGGGUGCAACUAACAAAUGGUUACAGGCCUACAAUUUGAAAGAUAUGUUUACUGAGAAAAAUGUGCAUUAACAGGAUACACAUAAAGGUUAUGUUAAAUUUUGUCAUUUUAUAUUUUACACAAUUAAGAUGCCAUGAAUGUUGUUAGCUUUUACAGGGACCUAUGUUGUCAUUGUCAGUGUUCAUAUUUUUGUUUUUGAAGUUUAUUUACACAUAUUUAAAAUUUUACAAUUGAAUUUUUGUGUGAAAUCACAUGUAAAAUUAAUGAGAUGUUUUAAGAUUUACUGAAAGCAUUAACUGUCAGUUUUAUAAGAUCACGUGUAAAGAAACGAACUGAAAUCCAUAAGAAAUACAGAAGAUUAUUUUUACUAGUACAUGUAUAAGAAGUUAUUUACUUCUUCAAAUGGUGAAAAAGACUUAAUCUGGUAUGAGCAUUUAUGUAUUUUUAAAAUUAAAUGUUUACUUUGAUGACAUACUGCUAAACUGCGGACUUAAAAUUAAGUCAACUAGGCUUUGUUUUUGUUUUAGAUAUGUCUGAGAAUGUAAAUAAGUUAAAAUGAAAUAAUGAAAUAGUUCAAAACACUACGCAAAACUAUAAAACAUGGCGGCUUUUGGUUAAUUGCUAUGCGAUUUAAGGUAAUGUUCAGAAAGCAUGCAAAUUUGGUUAUGGCAUUCAAAUAACCAGUGCGAUAUGAGAUAGAUCUUUGAUAAAAAAUCUUGUCUUGAAACAUUACUAAAUAAGAAUAAAGACUUUGAAUUUA
Molecule: long non-coding RNA, 3710 nt
Organism: Dreissena polymorpha
Lineage: Eukaryota; Metazoa; Mollusca; Bivalvia; Myida; Dreissenidae
Exons: 2
Source: RefSeq, a predicted model, not a curated record